GAAAGUGAAAGGGGGGCGUCCCGGGGCUUCCUUCACGGGGGCCCCGGUCGGCGCCCUCCGGGGCCGAUCCUCGACAGACCGUCGCCGCCGGUGUCUCUUCCCACACCAAAGCGGGGCCAAUACGGGAGCGCGCGCGGGGUGAGACCCUUUCCCCCGUCGUCCGACUCCCGGCCCCGUGGGUACCCGGCGAGCGCGGCAGUCCGGCGGUCCCUCCCCUCUCGGGGGGAGGAGGCCUCCGCCUGUACGCAGGGGGGCGCAGGCCCGGGACUUGCCAUUAGACGCCGUCGCGCAAAUCUGUUGUUGGCCUCGCCGGCUCUGCUUGGGCUCUCGGUUGGCGGGCCGCGCGUCAGGCGGGCUUUA
This 360-nucleotide ribosomal RNA is filed under the name Potamon algeriense. RNAcentral's name for it is "partial 28S ribosomal RNA". The record is from RNAcentral. Lineage: Eukaryota; Metazoa; Arthropoda; Malacostraca; Decapoda; Potamidae.